UAUCUUAGCCGUUGUGAUGAAAUAUAUGUAAUGACUAAUGGUCGAAUAGAUGCUCAAGGCAGUCAUGAAUCUUUAUUGCAAUACAAUGUAUACUAUGCAAUGAAAAUUAAUGUUACUGUUAACAAUAACUCUGCUCUAUUGCCGUAUGAUAAAUCUCGUUCUAUUGAAGAAGUUAGUAACCUUUCCUGUAUUUCUUUUGUCAAUGCGAAAAUAUUUAGUACUAUUACUUUCUUCAUAACCGUGAUAAUGAUAUGUUUAAUUCUCUAUGAAGAAAUAAAACGACUAAUUCAGUACAUCUUCGAUUUUGAUGACGUUGAAUUAUAAUUUUCUCUGGCGCUUAUCUGAAGCGCGCAUGUCUUUCAUAAAAUUCAAAUUUUUAUAAUUUUCUUCACCCAAUAGUUUAUUAGUAUUCAUUUAUUACUUAUAGAAAUUUCAUAUCUUCUUUAUUCUUAAAGUCAUAUAUUAAUUAAUCUUAACUACGACAUGAUAAACAUAUGGAAUAUUAAGCCGAAAUUAAAAGUAUUUUAGUCACGAUAAACAAGGAUAAUAACAAUUUAGUUAAGUUCGGCCAAUACUGACCACAGUAAGAAAAGUCCUUGAAAUUUAUAGUCACAAUAAGUUAAAAUAAUUAUAACUGUAUUUGUAAGUGAUUUAACUCCAUUAGAAUAAUAUGUGUUAAUUAAUAUGUUAAAAUAAAUUUUCUACUGAAAUUUUUGAAAUAAUUAUUAACUAAAAUACAAGUACAAGGUAUAUUCUUAAAUUGUGAUUAUUAAUAUAAAACAAUCCAUUUUUCGAGUUCAAACCCAUAUGAGAAUGGAUGAAGGUGAAUGAGGAUGGAUGAGUAUGACACAGCUUUAGGGUUACCAGCUUUAUUUUUUCCUAAUACCGGAGAUCUUACUAAUAAUUUGGACGAUAAUAUUUUAAUUGAAUCAGAAAAAAAAGCUCAUUGCUUGCAAUAUAAGAGUUGCUCGACUAUUUGCUAUACUCCGAGAAAACGGAGGGAAAUCUACACAUAAUCAUUUUUAUUUCUAUCAUUUUUUGUAUCACCACGAAAAAAUAAAGCCUUUGACGAGUUACUUUAGAGUAUCACCGCGUAAAUUAAAUUAUCAAACAAAAAUUUCACAAAUAAAAUCACCUAAAAAAAAUAACUCAUCGAAAUUAACUAUGAUUGCAAAAAAAUUGUCAGCUCUAAAAACUCGAAUUUAUUAGAUAAUGAUGUGAUAAUGAAGACGAUAAACAAGAUAACACACGUACUAACAAUAUUAGUGAACAUACUGAAGAUGAUAAUACAGUAAAAACAGAAACGACCGAACAGAAAUGGGAUACUUGGAAGAGUAAAUUAAAAUGUCGUGAAAAUAAACCCGUUAAUAAAAAAGUACACACACGAAAGAAACUAUUGAGAAUAAAAAAUCAUUAUGGAACAUUAUUGCUGAGAAUGAAAAUGAGAAAGAUAGGCUUCGAGUUGAAUCAACAAAAAAAACGAUUAAUUGGUCUU
Long non-coding RNA from Microplitis mediator, 1495 nucleotides. RefSeq lists it as uncharacterized. The record is from RefSeq and is a predicted model, not a curated record. Lineage: Eukaryota; Metazoa; Arthropoda; Insecta; Hymenoptera; Braconidae. The transcript is spliced from 3 exons.